GUCCCCUUCGUCUAGUGGUUCAGGACACCGCCCUUUCACGGCGGCAACACGGGUUCGAAUCCCGUAGGGGACGCCA
RNAcentral lists this transfer RNA (76 nucleotides) under Alphaproteobacteria bacterium. Its description in RNAcentral is "tRNA-Glu". It matches the Rfam family "tRNA". Rfam says of the family: Transfer RNA (tRNA) molecules are approximately 80 nucleotides in length. Their secondary structure includes four short double-helical elements and three loops (D, anti-codon, and T loops). Lineage: Bacteria; Pseudomonadati; Pseudomonadota; Alphaproteobacteria. RNAcentral also lists the same sequence under 1 other name. The record is from RNAcentral.